GUACACAAAAAUGCACAUGCUGUGAGCUCGAUGAGUAGGGCGGGACACGUGGUAUCCUGUCUGAAUAUGGGGGGACCAUCCUCCAAGGCUAAAUACUCCUGACUGACCGAUAGUGAACCAGUACCGUGAGGGAAAGGCGAAAAGAACCCCGGCGAGGGGAGUGAAAAAGAACCUGAAACCGUGUACGUACAAGCAGUGGGAGCACGCUUAGGCGUGUGACUGCGUACCUUUUGUAUAAUGGGUCAGCGACUUAUAUUCUGUAGCAAGGUUAACCGAAUAGGGGAGCCGAAGGGAAACCGAGUCUUAACUGGGCGUUAAGUUGCAGGGUAUAGACCCGAAACCCGGUGAUCUAGCCAUGGGCAGGUUGAAGGUUGGGUAACACUAACUGGAGGACCGAACCGACUAAUGUUGAAAAAUUAGCGGAUGACUUGUGGCUGGGGGUGAAAGGCCAAUCAAACCGGGAGAUAGCUGGUUCUCCCCGAAAGCUAUUUAGGUAGCGCCUCGUGAAUUCAUCUCCGGGGGUAGAGCACUGUUUCGGCAAGGGGGUCAUCCCGACUUACCAACCCGAUGCAAACUGCGAAUACCGGAGAAUGUUAUCACGGGAGACACACGGCGGGUGCUAACGUCCGUCGUGAAGAGGGAAACAACCCAGACCGCCAGCUAAGGUCCCAAAGUCAUGGUUAAGUGGGAAACGAUGUGGGAAGGCCCAGACAGCCAGGAUGUUGGCUUAGAAGCAGCCAUCAUUUAAAGAAAGCGUAAUAGCUCACUGGUCGAGUCGGCCUGCGCGGAAGAUGUAACGGGGCUAAACCAUGCACCGAAGCUGCGGCAGCGACGCUGAUGCGUUGUUGGGUAGGGGAGCGUUCUGUAAGCCUGUGAAGGUGUGCUGUGAGGCAUGCUGGAGGUAUCAGAAGUGCGAAUGCUGACAUAAGUAACGAUAAAGCGGGUGAAAAGCCCGCUCGCCGGAAGACCAAGGGUUCCUGUCCAACGUUAAUCGGGGCAGGGUGAGUCGACCCCUAAGGCGAGGCCGAAAGGCGUAGUCGAUGGGAAACAGGUUAAUAUUCCUGUACUUGGUGUUACUGCGAAGGGGGGACGGAGAAGGCUAUGUUGGCCGGGCGACGGUUGUCCCGGUUUAAGCGUGUAGGCUGGUUUUCCAGGCAAAUCCGGAAAAUCAAGGCUGAGGCGUGAUGACGAGGCACUACGGUGCUGAAGCAACAAAUGCCCUGCUUCCAGGAAAAGCCUCUAAGCAUCAGGUAACAUCAAAUCGUACCCCAAACCGACACAGGUGGUCAGGUAGAGAAUACCAAGGCGCUUGAGAGAACUCGGGUGAAGGAACUAGGCAAAAUGGUGCCGUAACUUCGGGAGAAGG
RNAcentral lists this ribosomal RNA (1366 nucleotides) under Escherichia coli. RNAcentral describes it as "partial 23S ribosomal RNA". It matches the Rfam family "Bacterial large subunit ribosomal RNA", at positions 375 to 1746 of the family's 2925-position model. Lineage: Bacteria; Pseudomonadati; Pseudomonadota; Gammaproteobacteria; Enterobacterales; Enterobacteriaceae. The record is from RNAcentral.